This 411-nucleotide ribosomal RNA is filed under the name Vibrio toranzoniae. RNAcentral's name for it is "bacterial SSU rRNA". It matches the Rfam family "Bacterial small subunit ribosomal RNA", at positions 1133 to 1533 of the family's 1533-position model. Lineage: Bacteria; Pseudomonadati; Pseudomonadota; Gammaproteobacteria; Vibrionales; Vibrionaceae. The record is from RNAcentral.
GGGAACUCCAGGGAGACUGCCGGUGAUAAACCGGAGGAAGGUGGGGACGACGUCAAGUCAUCAUGGCCCUUACGAGUAGGGCUACACACGUGCUACAAUGGCGCAUACAGAGGGCAGCAAGCUAGCGAUAGUGAGCGAAUCCCAAAAAGUGCGUCGUAGUCCGGAUUGGAGUCUGCAACUCGACUCCAUGAAGUCGGAAUCGCUAGUAAUCGUGAAUCAGAAUGUCACGGUGAAUACGUUCCCGGGCCUUGUACACACCGCCCGUCACACCAUGGGAGUGGGCUGCAAAAGAAGUAGGUAGUCUAACCUUCGGGAGGACGCUUACCACUUUGUGGUUCAUGACUGGGGUGAAGUCGUAACAAGGUAGCCCUAGGGGAACCUGGGGCUGGAUCACCUCCUUAUACGAAGAUA